GCCACUCUCUACGGUGAGGCAAAAUUUUCAUGUAAGGCUAGAAAUUCAUGUUGAGGACAUUUGUUUAGCACUUAAAGACUCAUGAUUGAGUAAAAUCUCAUGUGUAUGUGCUCUUAAUGACAUGAUUCCAUUAGUAGUCCAGCAAGUAGGCUGCCCUUAAGUAACUUUUUCUAUUUGCGUAAACCUGGUUCACUGAGACAACCCAUCUCAUUUAAGGAUUCACCAGAAUGGGAGGAUACAGAUGUUGAUGUGAGGGUGGAGGAAGGAGGUGACUGUGACACUAUUAAUAUUGUGAUCACCCCAGCCUCCUCAUCUCUCUCGAAGCUCAAUGGUGGGUCCUUGCCAUCUCGACCACUACCAAAGGGUGUAGUUGUAGCAAGGAAAAUUGCAAGGGCUUCAGUUGUUUGGAAAGACUUGACUGUCACAAUAAAGGGUGAAAGGAAGUACUUUGACGAAGUUGUGAAGAGUUCGAAUGGUUUGCAUUGCCUGGAACUAUGACAGUAAUCAUGGGUCCUGCUAGAUCAGGGAAAAGUCCACUUUACUAAGGGCUAUUGCAGGUUUUUAAGCAUGGAAGAUCCGAAGAUUGCACCACUCAACCAAAAUGUACAGUGAAGUGUUUGUUGAUGGGGCAAAAUCACACAUGCCUUACGGGUCUUAUGUAAGUUCCAAGUUGAGCUAGAUGAGCCAAAGUUGUUGAAUCAUUUCAGUUAUAUAGAUAAAUAGUUGAGGCUCAAUGCAACGAGAUGUGCUCUUAUGAACAUCUCCUUUUUCUAAGUGUUGAUAGUUAUACCAUGUAAAUGUAGAUAUUUCAUUUACCACUUGAGUUGUAGAAGGGACAAUAAGAAACUCCUACAAGUUAGAAGUUGCCCUGUUGAAAACUUAAGGAUGAAUGAUCCAGAUGUGAAGACCCAUUGCAAGCUGCUUUUGAUUGUCUCAUUUUCAAUUAUUGCCAUGAUGGUAUUCAAAUAUAGAUUUGAAGGAAAUACAUUGAAGUGGAUUUCCGUUGUAAAUGAAUUUUUUUCCUUCUUGUGAUGAGCAAGUAGCAAAGUAAGUAGUAGUCAAGAUACUUAUAA
Molecule: long non-coding RNA, 1073 nt
Organism: Quercus robur (English oak)
Lineage: Eukaryota; Viridiplantae; Streptophyta; Magnoliopsida; Fagales; Fagaceae
Exons: 3
Source: RefSeq, a predicted model, not a curated record